UGAGGGCUGCGGAGGUGCAGAAACAGAGUGGCUACAGAGACAUAUGGGAGCUGGGGACUAAGAGCAGCCAGCAUCUCCUACAGGAACUCUGCUGUUGGAUGAAACGGGAAGCAGGAUUCCACCAUCGUUGCCCUUCCUGUUUCAAGACCUGGCAUGCAAUGCCUUCUCGGAAGGAGAAUGUGGCACCAUUUGUACCAUCUUCUGGCGUGUGUGGGGACUGAAACCUGGGAUGGAAUGAGAAGAGCGCCAUCUAGUGGUCAGAAGACUCAAGAAGGGACCUGUUCUGAAAUUUUUCCCCCAGAAAAGCAGGUAAAGCAGGAACUUGCCCACAUCAAGUGAUAUUUUAAAGCCAUCUGGAGUAACAUCAUCCAGAAAUUGAUUUGCACGUGUUUCUCACAUGCCUCGUGGGAAAACUCAGAACAGUAACAAAAAUAUUGAGUGGCCUGAAAGGUGAAUGUAUUAAUAGAAAUAUGAUUGCUAGCUCUCCUCUGGCAGCAGAGCCCUGAGUGUUCAACUUCAUGCAGCCAGACCUUGCGGAAGCUCUGCUCCUUCCAUAUCAGUUGUGACCCUUCGUUAAUAACCUGAUGAUUCUGUGCAGACAAGUGAGUCACUUCUGUCCUGGGUUCCCAGGAACAUCUGCGAGACCAAGGUAGCCCUGGCUGAGGGCAUGGGCGCUGCAGUAGGGGUGGGCACAGGUCCAAAGCAGCCUCAUGUCUGUGUGAGCCGAACAAGUCCAAGCACUGCUCAGAAGCCAUCAGCGGCUCUGCUGGUUAACUGUGAGUUGCUCUCUGCUGCUGAGCGGCUUUCUUUUCUGAUUUAACCAAGAGUGGGGGAAAUGGUGGGGCAUUGACUGCCAUUUAUGCCUCGAGCCUAUGCCUGCAGAGACCACUAUGGGGAUAUUUUCAUCUUCUUGUUUUUGUUUGAGUACUGGGGAUGCAGGAACGUGGAGGUCUGGUUUGGCCAUGGAGCAUAAUAUUCUGUUUGCUUAUUUAUAAAAGACCCAACUACGCUGUGUUCCGUAGCUCAGUUAAGAACACUAAAUAGCAAGUUGCAGUGGAGGAAGAAUGGAUGAGGUAAAAGACUGAAUUCUUUCCUCAACUGUGUGAUCUCAGCCAAAUUAUAUGAUUGCUUGGAACACUG
This is a non-coding RNA of Myodes glareolus (Bank vole), 1140 nucleotides long. NCBI's taxonomy places the organism in Eukaryota, Metazoa, Chordata, Mammalia, Rodentia, Cricetidae. The record is from RefSeq and is a predicted model, not a curated record.